This 2317-nucleotide long non-coding RNA is filed under the name Equus asinus (donkey). RNAcentral describes it as "lncRNA (ENSEASG00005026049.1)". The record is from RNAcentral. Lineage: Eukaryota; Metazoa; Chordata; Mammalia; Perissodactyla; Equidae.
CUCCCUUAGGCCGGGGGCUCUGGAGUCAGGCAGGCAGCCUGGGGACUAAUGAGACAGACCUUGGUCGACUUCUGGUCUAGCCAAUCCUGGGUUCUCGAGUGAGUGACUCAAGCUAAUGACUCAACUUCUCCGGCUCUCCAUUUUCUUACCAGGAACAUGGGAAUGGACCAGAAAGUCAGUAAUACUGACCUCCUGUGGCUGUUGCGGGUAUUAGAUGAACUGUUAGGCCAGCGUGAUUACCCCUUUCCUCCGCCCUCCUUACAGCCCGCUCUUAAAUGGGAAAGCAGAUGAGAGCCCUGAGAGAGCCAUGCAGAGUGGAGCUGGAUGGACGUGGGCGGCAUAUCCAGAAACCGACGCCAGAACCACACUGUCUGGCUUUGAAUCCCAGCUCUACCACUUACUGAUCGGCUAACUUCUGUUUCAUCCGGAAGGGAUUCCACCUGCAAGAGCCUUAUAAGCAAAGCUUUUUUCACAGGAAAAAUAUUGCACAAAGAAAAAGUUUCCACGCUGUGAUUGCUUGCAUUCUGGCUAUACCAUAAAAAGGUGUCAGAGACGACUUCCUUCACCAGGGAAACAUCUUCUGUCCCCUCUCUCUCAGCUGAGGAGCCCAACACUCCUCUCUCGCUUGUCAACUUCUUACCAGAGAAGAGAGUUCCCGGCCAAGGAUCCCCAUGAGUCUCUUGGAUUAUGUCAUCCAGAGAGUUCCAGGAAGCAGUGGGGGGUGAAGGAACCAGAUGAGGCUGCCAACCCAGCAACACUUGCUCUAACCUCGGAAUUGCUUGCUUAGGAUGAAAGGCCAACCCUCCAGUCACUGAGGUUGACGAUCGUAGGAAGCAAGUGUGGAAGCAGGGCGACCAGUGAGGAGAUGGCUGCAGAGACCCAGCUGGGAGCUGAUGCUGGCCUGGCCUGGAGUGGGGGCAAAUAGAGAAUUUACAGGUCACUACUGCCUUUGUCUCGAUCUCAGGGUUGAGUGGCCUCCCAGUUGUCAUGGUGCUGUUUUUUGACCCAAGGAUGGAGACCUGACUCAAGCCUAUCAAUCAGAGUGCUUCCCUGGGAAGUUGGACCAGGAACUGAUGAUUGGAGCUCUAACAUGGAACCUGUACCAUGGGUGGCCAUGGUGUUCUGCUCUGUGGGUCAGAAAAGCAGAUGGAGCUGAUCUGCAAAGCGAAAGAUAAGAACGAAGCACAUGUGUAGGCUUAGAGCAGAAGAGCUGAAACACGGAGAGUCCUGCUGGGGUUUGAGUUUCUGGUUGCAAUACAUAUUUGCCCCAGUUAAAGUCCCGUCCUUGGGUCCUGUGAGAUAUCCUGGAUCCUUAUCAUAAAUGUCAACUUUUUUCACUCCAUCUAACUCAAAUGUGUUUCUGACUACCAAAAGAGUCUGAAUAAUUUGUACUUCAAAUCUACUUCUAUCACCUCAGGUCUAAGCAGAAAUAGAUUUUCCAUGAAGUUCAUGAAGCUUAAGUUUCAGAGUUUCUCACUCACAAAGGCCCCUUCCAAAGCCCCAUUUUGUAUUUGUACUUUUUUUGUUUUAAGAUUGGCCCUGAGCUAACAUCUGUUGCUAAUCUUCCUCUUUUUUUUUCCUCCCCAAAGCCCCAGUGCAUAGUUGUACAUCCUAGUUGUAAGUGAUUCUAGUUCUUCUAUGUGGGACACUGCCUCAGCCUGGCUUGAUGAGCAGUACUAGGUCUGUGCCAGGGAUCCAAACUGGUGAACCCCUGGGCUGCCAACGUAGAGCAUGCAAACUUAACCACUUGGCCAUGGGGCUGGCCCCAGUACUUUUGUUUUCUUUUUCUUAAAGAGGGUGCCCCAAAUUGUAUAAGUUUCAGACCACAUAAAAUGUGGAUUUGCCCUGUGUAUGCUUUCCUCUCUGUAGUUGCAAAGGUUGGGUGAUUUCAGGAAGGCUCGUCCUCCAUAACACCAAACUCACGGCAACGUUAGGGCCUUUGGCGAGUCUCCUCUACCUGCAAGGUUUCUCCCCCAGACCUUUGCAGAGUUGGCUCCUUCUUAGGGAUCAGGUCUUACCUUCAGUGUCAUUGCCUCCAAGAGGCCUUCCCUGUAUACUCAGUCUAAGGAGUUCUGGGGUCUCUAUCACACCAUCCUCUUUAAUUUUCAUGACAAUUUCUCGUUUAUUCAUUUAUUUCCUUUUUGUCCAUCUCCUCCUGCUCUUUCUAAAAUGAAAGUACUGUAAGAGCAGGAACCCUGUCUUCUUUACUACUGUAUUCCCAAGCAUCUAGAAGAGCGCCUGGCACAUUGUAGGCCUUCAGUAAACAUGUGUUAGGAUUAUAUUUAUUUAUCAGAUAGUAAAGUGCUUGUGUGCUGGG